This 2984-nucleotide long non-coding RNA is filed under the name Malus domestica (apple). RNAcentral's name for it is "long non-coding RNA (MDOM_LNC000461)". Lineage: Eukaryota; Viridiplantae; Streptophyta; Magnoliopsida; Rosales; Rosaceae. The record is from RNAcentral.
GCCACACCAUCAUAGUAUAGCAGCCCCUUGGCAUCCCUGCCACGUCACUCAUGCCUCCUCAGCCCUUGUUAAACCAAUUUUCAAGUCCCAAGAUUUCCAAAACAUCAAGAAGAGGAAAAUUUAAAUUUUUCUUACCUUGGUGCAGCACGGGGAAGAAGAACAACAACGAAAGAUGACUCUUUGGAAAGGCAAGAGAAGAAAAAAGCUAGGGGAUGGGGAACAAAUUUCAUUUGGCUUCUCUCUUCCUUGUUGGAAUAAUGAUUGUCUUCCAAAUUUAGUUAAUCCCCUGCUUAAGGCAUAAUUAAAUAGGUAUUAGGGGCAAUUGGUUUCCUUUUCCUAGAAGAAGUCUAUCUCCAAAUCAAGGGAAUAGAUCAAGUUCAAAUUGGGAAACAAUUCUACAAGCUCAUGUAGCUUGGGAUUUCUACACCUACUACCAUUUUUUUAAGUCCAACCCAGCAAGUGUGGAGGCAUUUGUGGAGCCUAAAAUAAUCCCAAAUAUCCUUGAAGCGACACGUGGACUUUUGCUCAAGAAAGACAAGAUUGCCCUUAAUAAAUGUUAGGCUCCUCAGAUACUCCCAUGCACAGCUCACACCCUUGAAGGUCACAGCAGCUGAAUACGACUGCCCACAGCCUACCUGCCCUUGGUAAGGAAAAUUCAAAGCAUUAAAGAUAAGGAUUAAUUACCCAAAUUCUAUCUUUAAUACAUUCCCAAUGGAAGAUUGACUCCAUUCAAGUAAGUAAUCCCUAUUUAAUUCAAUUAGGAAUAAUUAGUCCAUUAUCUCAAGAUAUUAUUUCUUAUUUAAUAUCUUGAGAAUAUUUCUCUAUAAACCUUGGCCAAUAGGAUGCCGCCAUGUGUAUAGUUAAACUCUAACACAAUGGUCGGCCCUCCCCUUCUACAUAUACCCUUUAUUCUACCAAAUUCCGGUAAGCUUUUGCUACCCUAAAAAGGUCUAAACAUUUUACUCUCCUAAGAGAAACUAACUUAGGCAUCGGAGAUCCAUUGGCCUAGCUCCCCCCUCCAUCUUGUGGGCGCAUGAGGCUUAGGUCUUUGAUCAAAAUUGUUGAUUGUUUUGCAAGUGCAUUUUCGUCAAAGCUAGAGAAGCAGAAAUUUACAUCGACAAUCAGCACAUUUGAUUAAAAGACCAAAGUCUCACGCGUCCACAAGGAGUUGGGGGUGAUUUGACCAAUGGAUCUCCGAUGCCUGAGUUAGUUUCUCUGAAAACAGUGAGUGUUUAGGAUUUGUAUGCGUAGCAAAAACUUACUAAAAUUUGGAGGUGAUGAGGGUAUUAAUAGGAGGUAGUUGCCGACCAUGUUGUAAGCUUUCGCCCAACCAAGUUAUGUCAUCCAUACAAUGCACAAGGAAAGGAUAUUUCCAAUAUAUUAAUUGGGAGAAAAUCUCUUGGAAUAAUAGUGAGAAUAUCCCUACUUGAUUGUAAUAGGAAUUUCUUACUUGAUAGAGUUGGUCUUCAAUUGGAAUGUAUUAUAGAUAGGAUUUAGUAAGUAAUCAUAUGUUUAAUGUCUUUCACUUUUCCAUGCCACAAGCAGGGGAGCCUUGAGCAAUCGUGUCCACUGCCUUGCACUUUCAAGGAUGUUGAGUUGCAAAUGGAAAUACAAAUAUGCCAUGCCCAUUUAAUGAGAACAAUCUUAUCUUUUUGUAGCUAAAGUCCACAUGUCGACUUUUAGAUUUUUGAGAUUAUUUUUGGCUCCACACUACUGUACUUGGAUAAGUUGCUGUUAUAUAGAUGUUGAUAGAGUAGACAUGCAUGACUUGGAGGAAAUAUAAAAUUGGUUCGCGCGGAUGGGGUUUAGAUAGGGAGAAAAUGUCAUUUUACUUCUUAAGUGGCUAAAGGCCAACAGUUCAUGUGAAAAAUUAUGAGACCAAUUAAUGACUGGAAAAUCUUAAAUUUUAGUUGUGAGGUGGGAAGUGGUCAUUUAUAAAAUUUUAGUGUGGUAAUUUGACUAAAAUAAAAAUUUAUUGACAAAAUUGAUAUUAACUUACAAUUUUAUUGGAGUGAAUCGACGAUAUAUUUAAAGUUUGCUUUUUUUACAAUUUUGACUUUUCGACUCUCAUGUAUCGUGAAAAUCGUAGUUUGCUACUCUUAGUUUUUUUUUUCUUUGUCUCACUUUAAUACCUAAUGUUAUGUUUUGCUUCUAAAUUCGUACUUUUGUUAGCCUGAACAUCAAGAGCACCGCUAAAAUGUGACGUGACACUAAAUUAAAUGAUAACUAUGCAAAAACAUGGCAUUGUCAUAGUUUACUAAUUGCAAAUGAAGUAAUUCCCAGAUUCCCUCUUUACCCCCAUCCAAUCACAGUUUUACACAUACCUAAAAUUACAAUAUAAACUUGUGAGCAAGGUAUAAAAUAUCGAUGAUAUCGGAAAUAUCGGUAGUCCAAAAACACGGAAAUUUCGAUGGAAAUAUUAGGAUAUUAUUGAUAUCGAUAAAAAUUGAAUAAAAACCACAGAAAUUGUAAGAAAAACUUGGAAAUUUUUAUUGAAACUUUGCACGAUAUUUAUUUAGUCAAUUAUCUAUUAGUUUAUCACAAAAAAUUGGAAGGAAAUGCAUUGCAUGAUAGAUAUAACUGAUUUAAGUUGAUUAUAUAGCGAGCUAACAAACAUUGUGAGUGUAGAAAAUAUAGAGUAAUUAAUGAAAGAAGUUUAAACACACCAUAAUCAUUUAUAUAUAAUGAAUUAGUACAAUAUUUUACACUUUAUAUAUUGCAUGGUAAGAUACAUGAGUGACUUAGCAAGGUCUAAAAUAUCGAUGAUAUCGGAAAUAUCGGUAGUCCAAAACACGGAAAUUUCGAUGGAAAUAUCGGAAUAUUAUGGAUAUUUUAGACAAUACUUGUGAGGGAGAUAGAUAGAUCAGGGAACUGGAUCUUCUCCUGAGCUCAGGGAUAGGGAUCCUUAUAAGCAGUCUAUCUGGACCGUUCAAACUUGAUCCAACGACUAUAAUUAUUAUAAUUUUUAGAGAAAUCCCUAUUUU